This 481-nucleotide ribosomal RNA is filed under the name uncultured bacterium. Its description in RNAcentral is "partial 16S ribosomal RNA". It matches the Rfam family "Bacterial small subunit ribosomal RNA", at positions 28 to 507 of the family's 1533-position model. The record is from RNAcentral.
GAUGAACGCUGGCGGCGUGCUUAACACAUGCAAGUCGAACGAAGCACUUUAUUUGAUUUCCUUCGGGACUGAUUAUUUUGUGACUGAGUGGCGGACGGGUGAGUAACGCGGGGGUAACCUGCCUUGUACAGGGGGAUAACAGUUGGAAACGGCUGCUAAUACCGCAUAAGCGCCCGGCAUCGCAUGAUGCAGUGUGAAAAACUCCGGUGGUAUAAGAUGGACCCGCGUGGGAUUAGCCAGUGGGUGAGGUAACGGCCCACCAAGGCGACGAUCCAUAGCCGACCUGAGAGGGUGACCCGCCACAUUGGGACUGAGACACGGCCCAAACUCCUACGGGAGGCAGCAGUGGGGAAUAUUGCACAAUGGGCGAAAGCCUGAUGCAGCGACGCCGCGUGAGCGAAGAAGUAUUUCGGUAUGUAAAGCUCUAUCAGCAGGGAAGAUAAUGACGGUACCUGACUAAGAAGCACCGGCUAAAUACGUG